UCAAUGGCUUUUUUCACACUUUGAAAGCCACCCAAAGUCAUAUGAGAAUUUAG
Non-coding RNA from Phalacrocorax carbo (great cormorant), 53 nucleotides. Lineage: Eukaryota; Metazoa; Chordata; Aves; Suliformes; Phalacrocoracidae. The record is from Rfam.